This 800-nucleotide ribosomal RNA is filed under the name Readeriella eucalypti. RNAcentral describes it as "eukaryotic LSU rRNA". It matches the Rfam family "Eukaryotic large subunit ribosomal RNA", at positions 89 to 925 of the family's 3401-position model. The record is from RNAcentral. Lineage: Eukaryota; Fungi; Ascomycota; Dothideomycetes; Mycosphaerellales; Mycosphaerellaceae.
GCGAGUGAAGCGGCAACAGCUCAAAUUUGAAACCUGGCGCUUGCGCCCGGAUUGUAAUUUGUAGAGGAUGCUUCUGGGCAGCGGCCGUUCUAAGUUCCUUGGAACAGGACGUCAUAGAGGGUGAGAAUCCCGUAUGUGACCGGCGCGCACCCUCCACGUAGCUCCUUCGACGAGUCGAGUUGUUUGGGAAUGCAGCUCUAAAUGGGAGGUAAAUUUCUUCUAAAGCUAAAUAUUGGCCAGAGACCGAUAGCGCACAAGUAGAGUGAUCGAAAGAUGAAAAGCACUUUGGAAAGAGAGUUAAAAAGCACGUGAAAUUGUUGAAAGGGAAGCGCUUCCAACCAGACUCCGCGGCGGUGUUCCGCCGGUCUUCUGACCGGUCCACUCGCCGCCGUGGGGCCAACAUCGUCUGGGGCCGCCGGAUAAGACCGGAGGAAUGUAGCUCAUUGAGUGUUAUAGCCUCCGGUGAUGCGGCGCGUCCCGGGCGAGGUCCGCGCUUCGGCAAGGAUGUUGGCGUAAUGGUUGGCAGCGGCCCGUCUUGAAACACGGACCAAGGAGUCUAACAUCUAUGCGAGUGUUCGGGUGUCAAACCCCUACGCGUAAUGAAAGUGAACGGAGGUGGGAGCUUCGGCGCACCAUCGACCGAUCCUGAUGUCCUCGGAUGGAUUUGAGUAAGAGCAUAGCUGUUGGGACCCGAAAGAUGGUGAACUAUGCCUGAAUAGGGUGAAGCCAGAGGAAACUCUGGUGGAGGCUCGCAGCGGUUCUGACGUGCAAAUCGAUCGUCAAAUUUGGGUAUAGGGGCG